AUAGAGAUGGCGGGCCCCCGCGCCCCCGUCCCCAACCCUUUGUCGACCAAACCACUUUUGCCUCGGGGGCAGAGCGGCCUCCGCCGCCCCCGGUGGACCAUCUAACCCUGUCUCUGUACGUCGGAGUCAAAUGCAAAUGAAUGA
This 144-nucleotide unclassified non-coding RNA is filed under the name uncultured fungus. RNAcentral describes it as "sequence contains ITS1, 5.8S rRNA gene". Lineage: Eukaryota; Fungi. The record is from RNAcentral.